UUUUUUUUUUCUAAAGAUGAAGCUAACUGUAGCAAAGGGCAGCGGCGACGUAGAGGUUCCUUCUCGGUUGAGAAGGAUCAGUGUUCGUGAUUGUCAGCUUCACCCUUCCUCACAUAAUUUUUUUUUUUAUUGCCACGGCAACACUGCAGCGAGAAUGCCAAGGAUCGAUGCUCUGAUACUAAUUGAUAAGACCCUAAAG
This 199-nucleotide long non-coding RNA is filed under the name Musa acuminata (dwarf banana). RNAcentral's name for it is "long non-coding RNA (MACU_LNC010390)". The record is from RNAcentral. Lineage: Eukaryota; Viridiplantae; Streptophyta; Magnoliopsida; Zingiberales; Musaceae.